CAUCUUUGUUAUGAUGUCUAGUCCUUUAUAUAUUCUCCUCCUAUAAAUUUUAGUUACCGAGCAAAAUUUAGGCCUAUAGUAUUAGGUACAGUGUGCAUACUGUUAAAUCUCGGUUAGAUUAGUCUCACUCCAAUUCUGUAGGUUAACGUCUUGCUUUUGUAAUUUCAUCUUUAUUUCAUCUAAGUCAUCUUUUUCUUCGUUUUCUAAUGUACGGCAUUGAUUAGGGUGGUAGCUUCCUAGUUUAGUUUUGCUUUAUUUUCACCUUUAAACUGUCUUUUCUCUUGUAACUGCCUUACUCGGUUCUUUGUUGCCUGAAUUGGCUUCUCAACAAUCAACACCUCUUUAUAUAUAUACCAUCUCUUUCUUUGUUUCUUUUAGAUAUGUCUAACUCCCCCGUGUACGGUCUACAUGGGUGUUGUUUCCUCCUUGCCAUCUUUUCUGUUUUUUAAGAGGGGAAGUGGCAAGUGAAAGUGAAAGUAGUUACUGCAUUUGCUUCUUGGGUUUGUAAUUGUAAGGUCAAUCCAAUCCGCGUUGCUUCUUUGAGUUGUAAGCCAUUAGUUUCUCGUUCUUUUGAGUGGAUAACAGGGCGUCCUCCUAGUCUUCAUAGAGCUUGUCUUUGUUGGAGAUUGUUGACCAUACCAUGCUAUUUGUGAGGCCACGGUUGGGGAAGAUUUCAGGAGGCUGCUUUUAUAUUAGAUGUGCAUUAUAGCGUAAUAUUUUCUUAAAAGCUAGUUUUAUUGUAAUCCAUAUGCAGUUUGUCUAGUCGCUUGUGUCCAAGAAAUACAUUCUAAUAUCUAUCUUGCCGUUUUGUAUCGAGUACGAGUCUUUUAAUCAGUCUGGUUGGCUUCUGAUAUUGGAUGAUGAUGUGUUUUACAGUUUCAUUUUAUGUCAGGACUGCAAUUCUAGUUUAAAAAAA
RNAcentral lists this unclassified non-coding RNA (916 nucleotides) under Hevea brasiliensis (rubber tree). The record is from RNAcentral. Lineage: Eukaryota; Viridiplantae; Streptophyta; Magnoliopsida; Malpighiales; Euphorbiaceae.